Anas platyrhynchos (mallard) is the source of this 631-nucleotide RNA transcript. RefSeq lists it as uncharacterized. The record is from RefSeq and is a predicted model, not a curated record. Lineage: Eukaryota; Metazoa; Chordata; Aves; Anseriformes; Anatidae.
AGCUGCCAUCCAUCACCUCGUUUUGGGGGGUAGUUGUAGGAUGAGGCCCCUGCCCCGAAAGUUGUGUUACUGUGCUGAGUUCCUGGCUCCCAGCCACUCAGGGAGCACCUGGCCCUUGUUGUGCACUGAUGUAUUUAAUCUGGAAGUAAGGUGUUUUCCACCCUUUCUCCCCCACGUCUGCUACUUUUUAUGAAGUCAAAUAUCCUGCUGUUUUCAUUCCUGGUCUGGCACUCAGCUACCUGUGCUUCUCAGACAACAUUUUUGCCUCCGGACAAAACCUUGCUGCUCUAGCUCCGCAAAGAGAUCCAGGGCAUUUCAAUUGCACAGAUCUGAGAUGGCUCCUGAUAUUAUACUACAAAAGCAGCAACAGCUUCUUCCUUGCAGGGGACGAAGGGGCUGUUUUAAGGAUAGAGCGUGAAAGUUGCACUUUCCCUAGAUGCCAUUUUGCAGUGAGGAACAGUGUGACCUGAACUCGGAGCACUAGUGCUGUUACUUCAGAACAUGAGGUCCAGGCGUGCUUUCAUUAAUAAAGAGAAAACGAAGUACUCAGUCUAUGCCUAUUAAAUGCUCACCGUUCAUUCUGUGUACCCAGUAAGACAAGGAUCUUCUAAGGAAAAAAUAAAAUAUGAUA